Molecule: ribosomal RNA, 440 nt
Filed under: uncultured bacterium
Lineage: Bacteria
Description: bacterial SSU rRNA
Rfam family: Bacterial small subunit ribosomal RNA
Source: RNAcentral
CCUACGGGAGGCUGCAGUGGGGAAUCUUGCGCAAUGCGCGAAAGCGUGACGCAGCAACGCCGCGUGAGGGAAGACGGCCUUCGGGUUGUAAACCUCUUUCAGGAGGGACGAAGCGCCGGCCGUUAAUAGCGGACCGGCGUGACGGUACCUCCACAAGAAGCCCCGGCUAACUACGUGCCAGCAGCCGCGGUAAUACGUAGGGGGCUAGCGUUGUCCGGAAUCAUUGGGCGUAAAGAGCGCGUAGGCGGUUCGGUAAGUCCGCUCUGAAAGUCCGGGGCUCAACCCCGGAAGGCGGGUGGAUACUGUCGGACUAGAGUCCGGAAGAGGCGAGUGGAAUUCCUGGUGUAGCGGUGAAAUGCGCAGAUAUCAGGAGGAACACCUAUGGCGAAGGCAGCUCGCUGGGACGGUACUGACGCUGAGGCGCGAAAGCGUGGGGAGCA